ACUGCUCCGUAACACGUGGACAACCUACCCUCAGCACGGGGAUAAACCCGGGAAACUGGGUAUAAUACCCGAUAGAUCUCGGCUGCUGGAAUGCAUCGAGUUCUAAAGCUCCGGCGCCUGAGGAUGGGUCUGCGGCCUAUCAGGUAGUAGUGGGUGUAGCGUACCUACUAGCCUACGACGGGUACGGGUUGUGAGAGCAAGAGCCCGGAGAUGGAUUCUGAGACACGAAUCCAGGCCCUACGGGGUGCAGCAGGCGCGAAGACUUUACAAUGCCGGCAACGGCGAUAAGGGGACCUCGAGUGCCAGGUUACAAAUCUGGCUGUCGUGAUGCCUAAAAAGCAUUGCAUAGCAAGGGCCGGGCAAGACCGGUGCCAGCCGCCGCGGUAACACCGGCGGCUCGAGUGGUAACCGUUAUUAUUGGGUCUAAAGGGUCUGUAGCCGGCCGGAUAAGUCUCUUGGGAAAUCCAGCAGCUCAACUGUUGGGCUUUCAGGAGAUACUGUCUGGCUCGAGGCCGGGAGAGGUGAGAGGUACUUCAGGGGUAGGGGUGAAAUCUUGUAAUCCUUGAAGGACCACCAGUGGCGAAGGCGUCUCACCAGAACGGACCUGACGGCAAGGGACGAAAGCUAGGGGCACGAACCGGAUUAGAUACCCGGGUAGUCCUAGCCGUAAACGAUACUCGCUAGGUGUCGGCCCCGGUGCGACCGUUGUCGGUGCCGUAGGGAAGCCGUGAAGCGAGCCACCUGGGAAGUACGGCCGCAAGGCUGAAACUUAAAGGAAUUGGCGGGGGAGCAC
RNAcentral lists this ribosomal RNA (793 nucleotides) under uncultured archaeon. RNAcentral describes it as "bacterial SSU rRNA". It matches the Rfam family "Archaeal small subunit ribosomal RNA", at positions 85 to 879 of the family's 1478-position model. The record is from RNAcentral.